UCAAUUGCCACAUGGCACCAUUACAAUGUUGGGGUUGAACCACAAGGAGGCAUCGCCAAAUGUAGUAGAAAGAGAUGGAAAUUUAUUUUCAGGCAGUUUUUAUUGGAGAUUGCAAGCUGCUCUGUGAGGGAAGUUCCUCAAAAAGUGAGGGUGUACACUUUAAAAUGAUAAAACAGAACAGAACAUGCUUCGCCGCCCCCCAAAAAUCGAGAUUUUGAAGUAAGAGAGGACAUAAUCUUUCUACCGUGGCAUCCUGAGAAAGGACACAAAGCAGCCUAUUCUGUUCAUAUCCUCAUACCAACAACUGAAGGGUAGGGGCAUCUACCUGUGUCAUCAUGGGCGAAUGGAGAUUGCUCAGCUUGCUCCAUUCUUCCCACUGACAGAAACUUCAAGAGCUGACCCUUUUGAAAGUGUGUGCUCAAUGGAUUAUAGAACCUGUGGGGUAUCUACAUACGUAUGCAUCCCCACAAGAAAAGAUGAAACGAGAGCGAAAAGGGGGCACAAUUUUGCAUAAUAUUUACACAAGCUGAUUUAUAUGUAGAGGUACAGAUUUAGAAAUUUCUGUAAUUUAAGCAGAAAUAUAAUCUCUCUCACCCUAGUAGUGGAGAUUGUGGACAGACAGGUGACCUGUGUACCUGGUCAGUAUGGUGUCCAGGUUUUAAUGGGCUCCUCCUGCUUCCUUAGGGUUCAUAUUGAAACAGGACUUGGACUGGACAGCCAUUCAACUAGAGCAACGGGAAACUGAGUCCACAUGCUGGGCCAGAUUAUUACCUUCCCCUCAGCCCCCAUAAGUCAAAUUUGACAGGUUGGUGUGGCCGCCACCUGUCAAUCACUUGCCAUCACUUAAUACAUUGAGCCUGGAUGGAUGACUACCCUCUAUCCAUUAUGCAAUGGUCUGAGGGCCACAUGGCCCUGGCUAAAUUUGAACAUAGGUCAGGUAGAUGUCAAUUUUGUGUGGCUGACAUACAUAUACUGAUGGCUAUUGUAUCUGUAAUGUGAACUGAUAGUGGGUUUUUGUUGCUGUUGGCAUUACCUUUAUUUUAUUUAUUUUAUCCUUUCUUCCUGCUUUCUUUUGUAUGUUAAAAUUACAAAUAAAAUAGUAGUAGUAGUAGUAAUAACAAUAAUAUCUCUUCACAUUGCAAUGACGCCAGGUCACUUAUUUUUGCCCCCACCCCACGGUUUGAUAUCAGACUGUGGGCAAAGGCUCAGUCUGCAAACCGCUGACAAUCAGCUGAUUGUCAGGUCUCGUGAAGCUAGCGGCACAGCGCUUCAAAUUCGGCUUUGCCAUCUUUAUCCUUUCCCUUUCCCUUCGUCAGUAGCAGUAGUGACACUGCUGACAUAUGGGUGCUCUCCGUCCUGGAAAGGGAACUAACGUGUUGAAAAUCAAUGGCUGCAGGCUGUCUCAGAUUCAUCCUUGAAUCUGAGGUACAAUGAACAAUACAAGCCUACCUUAUAGACCUGUUGUAAUGAGGUAAUGCAUAAACAACCGCCUUGUGGUACCUUAAAGAUUUGGACACAUGAAAUGAAUAAUAAUAAUUCUUAUUAUUAUUUCCAGAGGGGUGGCCAUGCUAGCUGUUAUUAUUACAAUAAUGGUGUUAUUAUAAUAUAUGUUAUAAUGAUGAUUAUUGUCAUUGGUGUCUAAGGCUUGCAGUAAUGACCCCGUUUGCAAAGCACAUUUCUACUCUUGUUCCUUUCUUGGCAGCAUCAUAAUGGGCAAGACUCUGAGUGCUUAACUAAGAUGCAGCAUCUGAUGCAAACACAGUAUGAGCCUCCUGUAAUGAUCCCAUUUGAAAUGCCAUCACGUGCACAAAAACUACCCUUCGGGGAAGAAUAUUAAGC
Podarcis raffonei (Aeolian wall lizard) is the source of this 1839-nucleotide long non-coding RNA. RefSeq lists it as uncharacterized. Lineage: Eukaryota; Metazoa; Chordata; Lepidosauria; Squamata; Lacertidae. The transcript is spliced from 3 exons. The record is from RefSeq and is a predicted model, not a curated record.